UCAUUUCAAAUUUGCUAGAUUAUCUACAUGUGUAAAAGUAAAUAAAGUUUUCAGAAACACAUGCUAUUCUUGAUAACAAACGACCGCUUGUUCCCUUUUGACGAACGUUUUCUAAAUUCUAACCAUGGUUAGCUGCAGUCCUCGUUCUUUUUUCCCCAAAAUUCAGAGAUUGAACUGUAGAAGCAAGGGAAGUCGAAACCCUAAAUUUUUUUCCCCCAAAUUUGUGCUAUCUUCAUACUAAAUUGGAGCUGCUCGAUAGUCGAUUGAAGCUCGAAGAUGUCAAUUUACUGAAGCUUGAACUGGUUCGCCUAAUCACAAAAGAUAUGAUGGAGAACCUUGAUAGGGGAAGUGGAGUGGAUGUUUGUGGUCUAGGUGUCGAAGUAAUGCCACAUAGAGAAGUAGUUGACUUUGAAGAUGGGAACUCUCCUGACAUGCAAUGUAUGGACCUAAUUGCACAUGCAUCUCUACCUCCAACAAUUGAAGAUGGACUUGAUGGUUGUGUUCAAGGUGAAACAUGUUAUAGGAUCCCUACCCGUACAAUACAGACUAUGCACACGGUUGUAUCUAGUAACAAAAUCAGUGUUGUUAGUGUAGUCGAGGAACCUAAGGAGGGCAUGAUUUUUAAAACUUGGCAGGAUGUUGAAGCCUAUUAUAAGAAAUAUGCUGAACAACUUGGGUUUGGUGUCAUCAGCGUUCAAGGUUCAUUCUCUAAGAAGGAUAAGGAAAGGAGGGGGACUACAUGGAAGUGUGAAUGUUGGGGGAGACCGAACAUGAGAGCAGUGAAAGCGGCAAAGAAGAGGGCUAAAUCAAUGGAAGUUGCUGGCUGUAGUAAUUUAGUUGGAGGGGUUAUUGCGGAGCCUGAGUUGAAUUGUUGCAAAAGAAAGUCCAAAAAGUGUGAGUGUGGUGCUAAGAUUUAUGCUAGUGUUAAUGACGAUGGUGAGUGAGAGUUGAUAAAUGUUAUUUUGAAGCACAAUAACCAUGAUUUACUCCCAAACGGAGCGAAGUUGGUGAAAAAGAUAGAAUGAAGCAAAUGACAUCCACUUAGGGAUGACAAUUAAAUCCGAUUUCGAUUCGAAUCCGAUCCGAUCCGAAGGAAAAAAUCCGAUUCAAAUCCAUUUAAAAUUAGUCCGAAUCUGAAUCCGAUAAAAUAGAUCCGAAUCCGAAUAGGAGGUGGAUCGGACUUGGACCCUACGCAAAUUUCGAUGGAGUCCGAUCCGAGUCCGAAUCCGAGAGUAUAAGCAUAUGCUCUAUAACUUGGGACAAUUAUUUGCUUGUUUUGUAGCAAAAUUUUGUUGUGUAACUUAGUUUAUAAUUUAAAUAUGUUAUGUUUAUACUUUAAUUGGUAUGACAAUACAAGCAAUUAUAGGUAUAUAUAUGACAUUACAAAAAAUAAAAAUAAAAAAAUAUUCAGACCAUUUCGGAGGUCCGAAUAAACGGACCGUAUUCGGCUCCGACAAUUACGAGUCGGAUCAGAUUCGGACUUGGAUUUUUCGGAUUCGAACUCGAAUUCGGAUCCAAGUCCAGGGUCCGUUUACUAAACGGAUCGGAUUUGGAUUUAGCCACAUCCGACCCGAAUCCGAUCCGUUGCCAUUCCUACAUCCACUGUUAGGAAGAGGUUGGUGAAUUAUUAUAAUGAGGGGGUACCCGUAUCUCGUAUACAUGGCUGGACUGCUAUUGAAAUGGGAGGGGUUGAGAACAUGUCGAUGACGGUUAAGGAUUUCCAACAUGAGGUUUACAAGAAGCGCCGCCUUAGGAUGGAAGGUGGGGAUGCGACUGCUAUGAUGUCAUAAUUUGAGUAUAUGAUGGCCGAUAGUCAGAAUUUUUUUCAUGCUAAUCGUUUAGAUGAAGAAGGUCGGUUAAAAGAUGCGUUGUGGGUUGAUGCUCGUAGUCGAGCUGCUUAUGAAUACUUCGGGGAUGUAGUGUGUUUUGAUGCUACAUAUUUGACCAAUGAGCAUGAAUUGCCGUUUGUGAAUAUUGAUGGGGUCAAUCACCAUGGACAGUCUAUUCUAUUGGGGUGUGCAUUGGUGUCUCAUGAAGGCACAGAUACGUUUAGAUGGAUUUUUCGGCAGUGGCUGUGUUGCAUGGGGAAUAAAUCCCGGCCGGUAUCCUUACAGAUCAAGUUGCUACGAUGCGUAAGCCGCUAGAAGAAAUUAUGCCAAACACUAUACACAGGUGGUGCAUCUGGCAUAUCAUGUCGAAAUUCCCUUACAAGCUUGGAAAAUGCUCGAUGUACAAUGAGUUUAAGAAUAAGCUAAAAACUGUGAUAUAUGAAAGCUUCACUGUGGAUGAGUUUGAAGAGAACAAGUGUGCAUUGAUUAAGUAGUACAAGCUGGAAAACAAUGAGUGGUUGACUUAUAUGUUCAAAGAGAGACAUAUGUGGGUUCUGGCCUUCGUGAAAGAGUUCUUUUGGGCCGGUAUGAAAACUACUCAAAGAGUAGAGAGCAUCAACAGUUUUUUUUGACGGCUAUGUGAAUCGGAAAACCAAGUUGCAUGAAUUUCCUAGACAAUAUAACAGAGCAAUGACAAAACGCGUCCAAGAUGAAACUGAUGUUGAUAACAACUGCUCCAAGUAUGUUCGUAGGCUAGUGAGUGGUUUCAAGCUGGAGAAGUUGUUUCAACAGGUAUACACUGACACAAAAUUUCAAGAAAUACAGACUGAGCUUUCAAGACUUCUGUAUGUUUAUUGCCGUGAUGAGAAAAUGUUGUCCAAGAUAGUUGUUUAGAAUCUAGUUGAAGAUAGAGUAUGGAUUGUUCCUCAAGGAUACAGGGAGGAGAUAAUAACUGAUCGCCGAAGGUUCUAUCGUGUCACGUUUGACAGUGUGACCAAAGAAGUGUCAUGCGAUUGCCGGAAAUUUGAAACGUUUGGGAUCUUGUGCAAACAUAUGUUCCGGAUAUUUGAUCAGAACUUGGUUUUUGAUAUACCUGAGAAAUAUAUACUCACGUUGUGGCGGAAGGAUGUAAAUCGGAGGCAUACAAGGAUUAAAGUCCCUUACCAUGAUCCGUCUCACUGGGCACAAGUGAAGAAAUUCUAUAAAAUGUUAAUCACUUUUGAAACUAUAUUUGAUCUUGCUGCAUCCGUUGAUGAUGAAACUGUUCACCAUGUCCUGAAUUCUCUAAAAAAGCUACAGGGUGAAGUAGCCGCGUUGAAGUAGAAGAAAGAUCUUCUCAAAAAAGCUGAAGAAGUUUCUCACUUCCCUGCUGAUGGCUCUUAAGUAGAGCAACAGUCAUGUGGUGUGGGGUCAACAGCUGCUUCAGUUCAAAAACCAUAUAACCCCCCUAACUCUAACGACACUCCAACAGCUGCCCAAGAACCUGUAACUGACCUGUCUGUUGAUGUUGAUAACAUCCAGUGGUCUGAACAACAUGCACCACCUAGUGCCCCAAAGAACUCGGUUGUUCUUGAUCCAAUUCUGAAGAAGAAGCGUAGACGGCAACCAAAAGGUAGCAGGAACAAAACUCACGUAGAAACUAGCUACAAAAAAGGCAAAGCCGAAGGAGAAACAACCUGACGUAUGCUUUAUAAUAAUUUGAAUCCUAUCUCUUUUACCAGAUAAGUGCACUUGAAUAACUUAAGGGGCCGUUUGGUUUGCAGAGGGGAAUCACAAUGGAAUGAAGAAAGGGAAUGAAGGAGAAAGGAAUGGAUUCCCUUGAUUUUUUCUAGUUUUUUGGUUGUGUCCAGGAAACGGAAUGAACUACUCAUUGAUUCCCUUUGUGACUGUUUGGUUCAAGCCAGGGAAUCAAAUUUUGAGUUAUUAAAUUCUUUUAA
Molecule: RNA transcript, 3766 nt
Organism: Chenopodium quinoa (quinoa)
Lineage: Eukaryota; Viridiplantae; Streptophyta; Magnoliopsida; Caryophyllales; Amaranthaceae
Exons: 3
Source: RefSeq, a predicted model, not a curated record